UACGUAGGGUGCGAGCGUUGUCCGGAAUUACUGGGCGUAAAGAGCUCGUAGGUGGUUUGUCGCGUUGUUCGUGAAAUCUCACGGCUUAACUGUGAGCGUGCGGGCGAUACGGGCAGACUAGAGUACUGCAGGGGAGACUGGAAUUCCUGGUGUAGCGGUGGAAUGCGCAGAUAUCAGGAGGAACACCGGUGGCGAAGGCGGGUCUCUGGGCAGUAAAUGACUUUGAGGAGCGAAAGCGUGGGGAGCGAACAGG
This 253-nucleotide ribosomal RNA is filed under the name uncultured bacterium. RNAcentral's name for it is "partial 16S ribosomal RNA". It matches the Rfam family "Bacterial small subunit ribosomal RNA", at positions 524 to 776 of the family's 1533-position model. The record is from RNAcentral.